Molecule: ribosomal RNA, 231 nt
Filed under: uncultured bacterium
Lineage: Bacteria
Description: partial 16S ribosomal RNA
Rfam family: Bacterial small subunit ribosomal RNA
Source: RNAcentral
UGAGUAACCUGCCCUGGACUUUGGGAUAACCCUCGGAAACGGGGGCUAAUACCGGAUAUGACACGCUCUCGCAUGAGAUGUGCGUGGAAAGUUUUUCGGUCUGGGAUGGGCUCGCGGCCUAUCAGCUUGUUGGUGGGGUGAUGGCCUACCAAGGCGACGACGGGUAGCCGGCCUGAGAGGGCGACCGGCCACACUGGGACUGAGACACGGCCCAGACUCCUACGGGAGGCA